This 1453-nucleotide ribosomal RNA is filed under the name uncultured organism. Its description in RNAcentral is "16S ribosomal RNA". It matches the Rfam family "Bacterial small subunit ribosomal RNA". The record is from RNAcentral.
GCUGGCGGCGUGCUUAACACAUGCAAGUCGAACGGAAAGGCCCUGCUUUUGUGGGGUGCUCGAGUGGCGAACGGGUGAGUAACACGUGAGUAACCUGCCCUUGACUUUGGGAUAACUUCAGGAAACUGGGGCUAAUACCGGAUAGGAGCUCCUGCUGCAUGGUGGGGGUUGGAAAGUUUCGGCGGUUGGGGAUGGACUCGCGGCUUAUCAGCUUGUUGGUGGGGUAGUGGCCUACCAAGGCUUUGACGGGUAGCCGGCCUGAGAGGGUGACCGGCCACAUUGGGACUGAGAUACGGCCCAGACUCCUACGGGAGGCAGCAGUGGGGAAUAUUGCACAAUGGGCGGAAGCCUGAUGCAGCAACGCCGCGUGCGGGAUGACGGCCUUCGGGUUGUAAACCGCUUUCGCCUGUGACGAAGCGUGAGUGACGGUAAUGGGUAAAGAAGCACCGGCUAACUACGUGCCAGCAGCCGCGGUGAUACGUAGGGUGCGAGCGUUGUCCGGAUUUAUUGGGCGUAAAGGGCUCGUAGGUGGUUGAUCGCGUCGGAAGUGUAAUCUUGGGGCUUAACCCUGAGCGUGCUUUCGAUACGGGUUGACUUGAGGAAGGUAGGGGAGAAUGGAAUUCCUGGUGGAGCGGUGGAAUGCGCAGAUAUCAGGAGGAACACCAGUGGCGAAGGCGGUUCUCUGGGCCUUUCCUGACGCUGAGGAGCGAAAGCGUGGGGAGCGAACAGGCUUAGAUACCCUGGUAGUCCACGCUGUAAACGGUGGGUACUAGGUGUGGGGUCCAUUCCACGGGUUCCGUGCCGUAGCUAACGCUUUAAGUACCCCGCCUGGGGAGUACGGCCGCAAGGCUAAAACUCAAAGGAAUUGACGGGGCCCCGCACAAGCGGCGGAGCAUGCGGAUUAAUUCGAUGCAACGCGUAGAACCUUACCUGGGUUUGACAUGGAUCGGGAGUGCUCAGAGAUGGGUGUGCCUCUUUUGGGGUCGGUUCACAGGUGGUGCAUGCCUGUCGUCAGCUCGUGUCGUGAGAUGUUGGGUUAAGUCCCGCAACGAGCGCAACCCUUGUUCACUGUUGCCAGCACGUUAUGGUGGGGACUCAGUGGAGACCGCCGGGGUCAACUCGGAGGAAGGUGGGGAUGACGUCAAGUCCUCAUGCCCCUUAUGUCUAGGGCUUCACGCAUGCUACAAUGGCUGGUACAGAGAGUGGCGAGCCUGUGAGGGUGAGCGAAUCUCGGAAAGCCGGUCUCAGUUCGGAUUGGGGUCUGCAACUCGACCUCAUGAAGUCGGAGUCGCUAGUAAUCGCAGAUCAGCAACGCUGCGGUGAAUACGUUCCCGGGGCUUGUACACACCGCCCGUCAAGUCAUGAAAGUUGGUAACACCCGAAGCCGGUGGCCUAACCGUUGUGGGGGAGCCGUCGAAGGUGGGACUGGUGAUUAGGACUAAGUCAUAACAAG